RNAcentral lists this small nuclear RNA (312 nucleotides) under Myotis brandtii (Brandt's bat). Its description in RNAcentral is "7SK RNA". It matches the Rfam family "7SK RNA". Rfam says of the family: 7SK was discovered as an abundant small nuclear RNA in the mid-70s but a possible function has only recently been suggested. Two independent studies have found that 7SK RNA binds the CDK9/cyclin T complex (known as elongation factor P-TEFb). The record is from Rfam by way of RNAcentral. Lineage: Eukaryota; Metazoa; Chordata; Mammalia; Chiroptera; Vespertilionidae.
GGAUGUGAGGGCGAUCUGGCUGCGACAUCUGUCACCCCAUUGAUCGCCAGGGUUGAUUCGGCUGAUCUGGCUGGCUAGGCGGGUGUCCCCCUCCUCCCUCACCGAUCCAUGUGCGUCCCUCCCAAAGCUGCGCACUCGGUCGAAGAGGACGACCUUCCCCCCCGAGGAGAGGACCGGUCUUCGGUCAAGGGUAUACGAGUAGCUGCGCUCCUCUGCUAGAACCUCCAAACAAGCUCUCAAAAUAGAGUUGGGUCUCCCCAAGACUUUUGGGAUUCAGAUCCCCAAAAUAUAAUUUCUGAGCCACCAGUAAAU